This 215-nucleotide long non-coding RNA is filed under the name Capsicum annuum. RNAcentral describes it as "long non-coding RNA (CANN_LNC002326)". The record is from RNAcentral. Lineage: Eukaryota; Viridiplantae; Streptophyta; Magnoliopsida; Solanales; Solanaceae.
GGGGGUACGUGCUAGAAACUUCUUCCCAAAUAUCACGGUGUCAUAGUAGAAUAUGCUACAGAGUUUGAAUGGGAGAAAGAGAACUUCACAGACAGGUCUAUCUCAGCCAGAGUCAUCCCACAACGCACCAAUUUGAAGGAACAACUCUUAUCUUUUAUUUAGUUUGAGUCCUUUAUUUUUCUGUCCUUGUAUUGUUGUGUCUUUGUUCAGUCGGG